Molecule: long non-coding RNA, 673 nt
Organism: Lathyrus oleraceus (garden pea)
Lineage: Eukaryota; Viridiplantae; Streptophyta; Magnoliopsida; Fabales; Fabaceae
Exons: 2
Source: RefSeq, a predicted model, not a curated record
UUAUGCAGGUACAGGGAUAAUUUAGAAAACCAUUUUCUUGCCUGGAAAUAGCAUUAGAUCAAACACAUACCAUAGCUGUCAACACACAUUAUCAAGCUUGGAGAUCACUUCUUGUAAUACGGUCGGUCUGUUCGUGCACGGGACUUAAGUGUGGUUUGUGUUUUGGUGAGGCGUUCUUUGCCGGUUCAAUAUAACACAAUGAGUUUGGCCAAGGCUUGGAGAAAAAGAUGCAAAGCCAAUUAUCCUGAACUCGGGUGAUGAAACAUGGACAAUUGAGGUUUUGCUGUAGGUUGAACAUGGCUGCAACUUGCCGCAACCACGACAUCAUUAUUCACAGUUGGCUUGGUUUUGCAGUUUGGACUUGGACGGCUUGGCUAGUGGCGUUCCGAAUUUGUACUGCAUUAAAUCACCAGUUUGUUGUGCUCUGGAACUUCUUGAGCUUUCUGUAAUUACUUAGGCUUUUUAUUUGGAAUGCUGAGUUUUGAGUAGUUUGUAGCCUUAUGUCUGCUGCGUUCAUGGCUUUCCCGUCCAACUACCCUUUUUAUGUUCUAUUUGUUUUGGAUAUGUAUGCUGGCGGGAUACGUAGACUGGAUAACGUUUUUUUAAUGGAAAAUUGGGUCAUGGAUGUUAACAAAAGUGAUUAUGAAAAUGGAUUAUGGAUGUUAGUGGAUAA